AGGAGCCGUUCCUUACGCGAGGGCUCUUCUCCAUCCUCCGGUCGUGCUCGGCUCCCACUGCUACCCGUGAGGCUUUCAUUAGGCUGAGCCCACCCAUUCAAUCCUGUAGAGGCGUGCUGCCAGCAGUGCUGUAAUAUCCAUCGAGGGCCACCCAGAGGUUGUCCAAGAAGGAAACGCAACUAUUUCCAACUGAGCUCGGAGUCACGUCAAAGAUUUAAUUGGGAAGUUCAAAGGAAGCGUCGGAGGCUCUUUUGAUCUCUGAGUGAACGCCACGUUGCAUCGGUGCCUGCUGGCCACGGCGGUGACCUCUCGUGUUAAUUAGUGCUUAUCUGAAAUCGAAUUAGCUCACAACCGGGAGAAAGCAGAGUGAAAAUCAGAGGAUAAUCACGGAUUUGUGUGGUUCUCACUUAGAGCCCGCGCUGCCUUCAUCUUUGCUGAGUCUGCUGCUCCACGCUGCUCACUGGAACUUAAACCAUAAACCAACACUGAACAAUGAUGCAUUAUUUAUAGCAGACCGAAUGCUGUAAGGUUGACAAUGGUGCAAAGCUUCUCUUUCUUGUGGUCAGUAAUCCAUAAAUAAAUACAUCAUCUAUUGAGGGCUGCAGGACUGUCAGAUGGAUGGGAAUUGCCUGUGUUAUACAAGGAGGGCGUGGGGGAUGCUGUGAGAGCCAGCACCUGCUUCUGCUGCCAGUUGGCUAUUUCUGAGUAAUGGUGUUAAAAGUCUUCACCUGCAGGGAGGUGUGAGUGUUAUCAGUGCCCAGCUGUGGAGCUGGGUGGAAGGUGCAGGGCAGCAGAGGUUCUCCGUGAAGGGGAGAAACGUGUAAAGCUGUCAGGUUCUGUGCCUCUGUGUGAAAUAUUAUACAGGGCUUUGUAGCUAAAGCUAUCUUAAGAGGAAGGUAUAUGGCCUCAGUUUCUGAGCAGAGAAUAGCCAGAGACGUAGAAGUC
RNAcentral lists this long non-coding RNA (945 nucleotides) under Gallus gallus (chicken). Its description in RNAcentral is "lncRNA (ENSGALG00000048120.2)". Lineage: Eukaryota; Metazoa; Chordata; Aves; Galliformes; Phasianidae. The record is from RNAcentral.